GGGGGUGUUUUGGAUUCGACUUGUGAAUAUCGGGAAUGACAAGCAUACCGAAGGCUCGGCUUCGUAAAAACGGAACUUAAAAUUAAACGCUGAUAACAGAAGUUUAAGCUUAGCAGCCGCUUAAUGGCUGCCGUCCCCUCCAUAGGCCUACGAAUGGAUGCGGGGCGUCGUAAGUAGGGAACGGCGUGUCAGAGUAGCCUUGUAUGACGCGCAGCUUCAAAGGCUUGGCGACGGAAGGGCUUGCUUUAUUGACCUUCCCAAGCGACAACAAACCAAUAAAGCUAAGUAUGUAGAAAAUCAUUUCAAAUAUCAUAAGGACCGGGGUUCAACUCCCCGCACCUCCACCA
RNAcentral lists this transfer-messenger RNA (347 nucleotides) under Bacillota bacterium. It matches the Rfam family "transfer-messenger RNA". From Rfam's summary of the family: Bacterial tmRNA, also known as 10Sa RNA or SsrA, is named for its dual tRNA and mRNA-like properties. Its role is to liberate the mRNA from a stalled ribosome. RNAcentral also lists the same sequence under 4 other names. The record is from RNAcentral. Lineage: Bacteria; Bacillati; Bacillota.